This 7800-nucleotide long non-coding RNA is filed under the name Homo sapiens (human). Its description in RNAcentral is "HSALNT0338770". The record is from RNAcentral. Lineage: Eukaryota; Metazoa; Chordata; Mammalia; Primates; Hominidae.
GUAAAUUAUGGGAUGUCAUCCACGCCUGUCCCAAAGGUACCGAAUUUAUAAAUCAUCUCAGGUGCGGAGCAGGACAGGUUGAAAAUAGGAAUGACAUGAACCCGCGCGGAACAGCUGCCGGCGCGGUGUCCAGGGCGGCACCCCGCCCGGUCCCGGCCCCUCCAGCCCUGGGCCCGACCCCUACUACGCCUCUGCCUCGACGCGAACGCGGAGCCCGAGCGCGCGUCACGCCGUGUGGGGCCGAAGAGGCUGCUACCCAGAGGCGGAGUGCGGGCUCGCGAGGGUCCCCACCCCACUCUCGCUCCCGCCAGCACCUACGGACUCGCGUCCCCGCCGCGCGCCGACUCGGGAGCAGCACCGCCCCCGGCACAGGAGCCUCACGCGCCUCUUACCUAACAGGAAGUUGGGUGGAAGCAGCGCGGACCCACGGCACACCGAACGCACUCCAACAGAACCCGACGCAGACACGCGCUUUCAACCGGCGGAGACACUGGCAGCUGAUCCAUAUGAAUUCCUCUUAUUAAGAAAAAUAAAGCAUCCAGGAUUCAAUGAAGAACUGACUAUCACCUUGUUAAUCAUUCAGAAACAUGUUGCAGGCUUAAGCCAUUUUUGAUAUAGAUACUGAAACAAUUACUUGCUAAGAGCAAACUUGAAGGUAUGGAUAAGGCCCUGAGUCAUCUUCCUGAGCUGAAUGAUAGUUAAGCUGAAUGUACGUAUAAAAUAUGAUUUUCUAACCACUUGCUCGCCAACAAGGAAAACUUUUAAGUAGAGCAGAACCUGAAUAGACAAGACAUUUCUUUCUUUUGGUAGAAAAUGAUUUACCAUCACUGUGUAGUUAAUUGUAGACUAGGUAAUUUUAACUUUGUGAUUUAUUGCCGGAGACAUUUUCUUCUGUACUGUAAAGUGUGUGUCAAAAAAAAAAAUAGCGAUUUUGGAGGAUUAGGGGACUUUGAUAAAUUGCCUGCAAUUCUGGCAGUAUGAACUGCAUAUUAAUUUCUGUCUUUCAAGAACAUUUUUAUUUAUUAAUUCCUUACAAAAACUCCCUAAACUUUGGAACAGCUCUCAAUUGCCUGUAUUCUUUUUUUUCUUAUUAUGGUACUCUUCUAGAGAUUUGGCUUGCAUCUGUGAAUAAGCCAGGACAUCUUCAGAAAUUGUCUGAUUAAAAACACCACCAAUGGAGUUUCAUUAAAUUUGUAUUGCUCUGACUAGUGAAACACACACAUCUAUGUUGCUGAGGAUAUUUUACUGCAGUUCGAGUUGUAAUAAUAGCUCUGUUUAAGAUCCGUCAGUCACUUGAAUCUUCUCUAAGGCUUUGUAUGUUAGAAGUUAAUUUGCUUUCUUACAAGGCCACAUUCUAUCUUGUAACUAAACAACUGAAUUUUAUGUCUUAGCGUAGAUGGUUUACUACUUUCUGGUUUUUCUUUAGUAAGAAUCCUAUAAAAACACUAGUAUUUUUCUCUGAGUUUAAAAUUCAAUACAUGCCUACUGAUAUGGUUAGGCUUUGUAUCCCCACCUGAAUCUCGUCUUGAAUUGUAAUCCCCAUAGCCCCCAUAAUCCCCACAGGUCAAGGGAGAGACCAGGUGGAGGUAAUUGAAUCAUGGGGGCAGUUUCCCCUGUGCUGUUCUUGUGAUAGUGAGUUCUCACGAGAUUUGAUGGUUUUAUAAGGGAUUCUUUCCCCUUUGCUCGGCACUUCUUCAUGCUGCCUUGCGAAGAAGCUGGCUUGCUUCCUCUUUGUCUUCCGCCAUGAUUGUAGAUUUCCUGAGGCCUCCCAAGCUGUGCUGAACUUAACAAUUUGGACAAGACAGCAAAUGCUAUUGUCCAAGUUUUCUAAAGAAGAAUCUGAAGUGAAAUGACAUCAAGAGACCUAUCAAGACCUGUAUCCAGGAAAAGGUUUAUAUGUGGAAGAGACUUGCCCUGUCUCAGGACUGGACCUCACUGUGGGAACAACAAGAUCAACAAGAGGAGCAAGAACAACAUCAAGAGUCAGGGCCCGGGGGUCCUGACGGGUACAGGAUGGGUACAGACCCACACAGGAAUCCCAGAGUGUGUUCCACAGCAGGACACGCCUGCGCUGAAAGAGUGGGCAGAAAGGAGCUGACCUGGGAUUAUGAUCCAAACUCAGCUGGGCCUCCCCUCCCUGCCCCAGGAUUGUGGAGUGAGAACGUUGCAGCAGGAGAGAACAACGCAGCAAAGCACAGCAGGGGAACCGGAAAUGCUCACCUUUUGACAGGACCAAACCAAUGCACAACUCCUACGUACUGAUGGUGGUCUUACGUUUCCCUAAGUUUCUGCCGACUAAACUGUGCACACGUUCUCAGGACCUCCUGAAGCUGCGUCACAGGCGCUGAUCAAAGAACACAACCAAGAGUUUGGCCUUUUCUUCAGCACUGGGAAUUGUGAUCCAAAGCUUUUCCUGAUGAGGCACAAAGUUGGAGAAACAAAACGCAAACUAAGCAACAAUGAAACAGAACAGAGUGAAUCUGCUGUAGCUCAAGAGAGGACGUAGCUGCCCCCACUCCGCAUCCCCGGGCUCGGGUUUGCCUUGCUGACCUCUGCUGCCACCUGGUGCCGCACAGAGAAACUGAGGAGAAACCACAUCAGUCUCCUUCAGCCUCAGCUUCACAUCUGUGGUGGGUCAAGCAACCCUUUCAGAAGCUGUAUAAUGUGGGAAAGCUUUCCUCUCAGGAAAAUGCACACAUCCAACUUUGAGAAGAUGCCCUUGGGGGCGCUUCAAGGAUCCUAGAUAAAGAACCCCCUUUCCCGAACAUCCAAGAACCUAAGUUUUUUUUUUUUUUUUUGAGAAAGUCUCACUCUCUCUCCCAUUCUGGAGUGCAGUGGUGUGAUCUUGGCUCACUGCAAGCUCCACCUCCCAGGUUCACGCCAUUCUCCUGCCUCAGCCUCCUGAGUAGCUGGGACUACAGGCGCCCGCCACCACACCCGGCUAAUUUUUUUGUAUUUUUAGUAGAGACGGGGUUUCACCAUGUUAGCCAGAAUCGUCUUGAUCUCCUGACCUUGUGAUCCACCCGCCUCGGCCUCCCAAAGUGCUGGGAUUACAGGUGUGAGCCACCACGCCUGGUCCAAGAACCCAACUUUUAGAUCUAGAGUGAUGUCAGCAUGACAUUGAUUUCCUGAGGCCCAGGGGUGAAGGAGCUGAGGACAGCAGAGGGGUGAAGGAAGUCAGCUACAGACAGCAGCAGCUGAUGCACAGGCCUCCCAGCGCCUGAAGUCACCCGGAAUUGGGAAGUGCUCAGAAGCUUACAAAGCUGCCUCGAGGUGGGAACACAAUAUUAAUCCAAGAGCAGAUCCCUGAUCCUAUAAAAAUGUACUAGAUGCAGUGGGGGCAUUUUAAAUGAGCAGGGAAGAACAGACAGAUAGACAGAAGGACAAACAGUAUUGGGAUUGGGAUAAAUGCUCAGCUUUUGCCCAAAUCUUAGUGACUUAAGCAUCACUUAUUUGCUCACGAUUCUGUGGCUGGACCAUUUGGUUUGGCUCACAGGGCAGGGACUGUGCUGGUCUUACCUGAGCAGACCUGCAUGUCUGCGGUCAGCUGGGUUGGCAGAGACAGAGUGACUGUCUUCCUCCAGGAAGCAGCAGGUUAACUGGUUGGCAGAGACAGAGGGACAGAGGGACUGUCUUCCUCCAGGAAGCAGCAGGUUAACUGGUUGGCAGAGACAGAGGGACAGAGGGACUGUCUUCCUCCAGGAAGCAGCAGGUUGGCUCUGGUUCCUUCGUGGGGCAGCUGGUCUCUAGGGCAGCAAGAGAGACCAAGCCCCCGUGCACAUUCUACAGCCUCUGUGCACAUCAGACUUGUUAAUAUCCCAUUGGCCAGUGCAAGUCACACGGCCAAGCCCAGAUUAAGGAGUGGAAAGAUGGAUGCUAUCUCCUCCUGGGAGAGGAGGCAAAGGAGGUGAGAGCAUUAUGUGGCCACUUAUGUUUGCAAUCUACCAUACUUAGCCCUUUGAGAAAAGAAUUAACUGAGAAACUUGCUUCAAAUAGGGCAUUCAGUAAAAUGAAGCCCCAAUUGAAGUAAAAUGCAUAUAUAAAAAAUGAAACUGUGACCGAUUUUAAGGACAGUAUUGGCAAAUAUUUCUGUGCUCUUGGAGGAGAAGACCCUUAUUGGCAUGACAUGUCAGAAACCACAAUGAAAGAAUUAUUUUAACUUGCAUUCAUAAUAAUUAAAAUUAUUCAUUAAAAACAUCGUGAAUGAAAUUAAAAGUCAAAAUGUAAGCCAGAAAAUUAUUUACAACAUAUGUGUCAGGAAAAGACAAUACCCUUCAGACUUUGAGAGUUUACAUCAGAAAGAAAAUAGCAAAUGACAUGAUCCAAACUUGAUAAAGGACAUGAAAAAGAGCCAGCACUUAGUAUGUUUUAUGAAUGAAUAAGUAGCCAACAGCACAUGAAAAUGUGUGUAAUCCACUUGUAAGCAGAGAAAUGCAAACUAAAACAGUAAAGUGUCAUUUUCACUUCCUGGAUUGGCAAAGGGUUUUAUGUAUUUUACUGACAGUGCUCAAUAUUAGCAGUAAACAACAAAUGGUGAGUAAAUAUGAGCUUCGGAACCUCAGGGAAAUGAUCUCCUUAUUUCAACCUGUAGAUUCCUUCCUACAACCAGUGUAGAGCAGAGUACCAGGACGGGCCAUUGAGCACCCUGGUGUUGAGAGCAAGUGGCCUCUAGUCAGAGUUGGGUCAGGGCCACUGUGAGUGGGCUGCCCCCAACAUGAGUCAGCUGUCUAGGACUAGUUUAUCUCUGCUUCUCACUUUACUGGUAUUAUGGGGCAGCUCCUGCUGUCUUCCAAUUUGGUGUCUUCCAAAUCGGCACCGUCUUUUAAAGUUGAGUUUCUUGUUAUUCUCACCUGAUAUACCUUAUUUAUCCCACACCCACCCCAAUAACAUAUCGUGCUCAGUGUUAUCUUUGAGACAACACUUGAAUUUUACUCAGCCUGGAGCGCUCUUCACAUGUCUUGUCCAGAUCCAGUUCGGACUCAUUCUUCAGCCGUGCAUCAGUAAAUGGGGGCUAGGUUAAACUGUGGUGACAAACAACCUCCAAAUUUCAGUGGCUCAAAAAUCUUCUUCCUCAUUUAUUUACAUUUCAUCAUGGGUCAGGUGAGAGGUAGCUCUGUGCUGUGUCAUCCUAACACAGGGAUCCAGACGGAAGGAGGGACAAUCAAUAAGAUCCCCAUUGCUAUAGAAAAGAGAAAAAAGUAUGCGGAAUAGAACUCUGUUUCUUGGAGAUUUCUCCUGAAAAAGUCACAUGUUAUUUCUUCUCACCUCCAUUGGCAAAAAAAAAGUCAUGUGGCCAUGUGAAAAUGUAAGUAGGCGGGAUGGAACAGUCAGAAUGCAUUCAUAAAAUAUGAACUGAAAAUAUCUGGAGAACAGCACCUAUGACUACCACGAAUGCCAACAUGCAUCCCUAACAACCCAGUGCUGUCACCCUCCAAACUUUUUAUGUCUUGAAAAGUAUUAGAACUUCUUAUCUGAAGCCAUACCACUCAGAGGGAAUGCAAAAUACAUAUUGACAUCUCCUUUAGGAUGUCCUUAGAGAAUUCAAGGAAAAGAAGUUAAAUAAUUUAAAAGUGCUUUUGGGUACAGCUAUUUAGCACUAGAGGGUAAGAUUAGACAUAGAUUGUAAAGAUAAUAAUAGGGUUAGGGAUAGGAUUAGGAUCUGGGUCAGAGUCAGGGCCAGAAGUAUGGUUAGAGGUGGGGUCAUGGUCAGGGUCGAGAUCAAAGUCAGGGUCAGAAUUAGGGACCAGGGUAGGGAUCAGGGUUUAGGUUCAGGGUCAAAGUCUUGGGACAGGGUUAGGGUUAGGAUUAGAACCAGAGCUUUGUUCUCCUCAGGACCCACCCGAGGGUGGGUCACCAUGGCUUUGGAGCACCUGGUAGUGUGGCGUGUCCACAGUGAAGACCAGAGUUUCGUUGUCCUUAAGACUGACCUGGGGAGACGUGGCUGCAGGCCAUUGAGGAAGGUGAGGAAAAACAUCCUGUCUGCUCCCCGUGUGCUGAGGAGGGAGCUCUGCCGUGGGCUUUACUUUCACAUGUUAUAUUCCACAAGUCUUGUUUUACAAAAGCAUCCCUUCCUUGAGGCUUCGGCUGCUCAUCGCUGCUCAUCAUCAUAGCGUGCCAUAACAUAUAGUAAGAUUUGGGUUUGUUUCUGGGGAGAGAUCUUGGUAUAGAGAAAGGAGAAAUGCUUAGAGCCACCAUCAGGACAGUUGGGAUGAAAGUUGGGUAUAGGCAGAGGCUGGAGGAAACAUGUGCAUCCCCUGUAAACACUUUUAUUCAUGUUUUAAUUACUCAUUUUUCUUACAGUGUUAAAUUAGUAAAGAUAGUAUUGAAAAAUUGAAAAGUAGGCAUAUUAAAACCUGCAACACUAUUUAAGCUUAGAUACAUUAUUUGUAUCUCAUCAUUUUUUAUUUUGUUGAGAAAGUUUAAGGUUAAUUGACAGCAUAUUUCUAAUAGUAGAUAGAAUAACAUCCCUUUUAUAAACUUUGACAUCUUACAUUACAUGUGUGAACCCUGAAAAUCUGAGACAGCUCUCAGAUUUUUUAGAAAGUUUAUUUUGCCAAUCUUGAGGAUGUGCACCUGUGAUGCCUCCUCAGGAGAUCCUGACAACAUGGGCCCAAGGUGGUCGGGGCACAGCUUGGUUUUAUACACUUUAGGGAGACACGAGAGAUCAAUCAAUAUGUGUAAGAUGUACAUUGGUUCAGUCCAGAAAGGUGAGAAGGCCAGACAGGGGGCUUCCAGGUCACAGGUAGGUAAGAGACAAAUGGUUUCAUUCUUUUGCAUUGCUGAUUACCCUUUCCACGUGAGGCAAUCAGGUAUGCAUUUAUCUAGGUGAUCAGACGGGUGUCUUUGGAUAGAAUGGGAGGCGGGUUUGCCCUAAGCAGUUCCCAGCUUGACUUUUCCCUUUAGCUUAGUGAUUUUGAGUCCCCAAGAUUUAUUUUCCCUUCAUAAGUGUUCCUAUGAGUAUUAAUUAUUCAUUGUGUCUUUUAUUACACAAAUAAGGCACAGAUUUUUAAGAAAUCAUCAACUUCAUGGCUACCUAUAUAGACAUAAUUACAUAGAAGCUCAACUAAAUUUGCAAACAUUCCAGAGUUUGGGUUUCCAAUAAUUCUUUGUGAUUCUUUAAAAGGUAAAGUAUUUUUUCCCAUAAAACAUAGCAACAUUUAAAAUCACCCGUAGAAUGUCCUGCCAUUUUUGUUUUUCUAGUUUCCUCAUUUUCUGCAAAUCCUCGCUGAGGAAAUUGACUUUGAAUAUCCUUUUAGACUCUUUUGUUUUAGAAAGCAUUGUGGUAAAACAUUGAAUCAUCAUGGUCAUAAGUUCCGUUCACAUUCUUUCUUUCUUUGAAUAUUUUUUCCCAGUGGCCAAUAUUUGAUUCUGUUGUAUUAUGGCUAAAAGGUAGGCAUGGGAACAAAAUAAAGACAAGAAGUCUUUGGAAUAAUUGAUCCCAUCACAAUGAAUCAAUUUGCCAUUGGAACAUGUUUUUACAAAGUCACUCUUUUGAAAAUAUUCAGCUAUGACUUGAAACAGAGUCUGUAUGGUUAAUAUUUUUCCUGGUCUAAGGUGAACAGCAUUUUAGAGAAUGAACCCAGGACACAACCACAGCACAAGAAAAAAAUAUGAUAAUUAAGUUUACACAUAUUGUUACUACUGUAACAGAAAACAUGUAAAGGACAUUUGUUUUGAUUUAUAUAUCAGUCUGCACUGUUUAAUUUUUUGUGUCAUAAUUGCUCUUAUUUUAAAAAACAGGACUAGUUAACAGUGUCAAUUACUAGUAAUUCAUGGUAUAAAUAAUUAAACAAGGAAGUG